AGCUUUGCGCAGUGGCAGUAUCGUAGCCAAUGAGGUUUAUCCGAGGCGCGAUUAUUGCUAAUUGAAAAAACACGGGAACAGUCAUAUGCUAUGAUGUAUUAUCUGUAUACUCCUGCAUAUGAGACAAAAGAGCUAAAGAGCC
Rattus rattus (black rat) is the source of this 142-nucleotide small nuclear RNA. RefSeq annotates it as U4 spliceosomal RNA. Lineage: Eukaryota; Metazoa; Chordata; Mammalia; Rodentia; Muridae. The record is from RefSeq and is a predicted model, not a curated record. The transcript has a single exon.